CGCAGCCGCGGUAAUUCCAGCUCCAAUAGCGUAUAUUAAAGUUGUUGCAGUUAAAAAGCUCGUAGUUGAAUUUCGGGGUCAGUAGGUUGGUCGUGCCACUGGUAUGUACUGGCUUCACUGAUUCCUCCUCUUGUAGAACCGUAAUGCCAUUAAUUUGGUGUUGCGGGGAAACAGGACUGUUACUUUGAAAAAAUUAGAGUGUUUAAAGCAGGCUAACGCUUGAAUACAUUAGCAUGGAAUAAUGAAAUAGGACGUUUGAUCCUAUUUUGUUGGUUUCUAGGAUUGACGUAAUGAUUAAUAGGGAUAGUUGGGGGCAUUAGUAUUCAAUUGUCAGAGGUGAAAUUCUUGGAUUUAUUGAAGACUAACUACUGCGAAAGCAUUUGCCAAGGAUGUUUUCAUUAAUCAAGAACGAAAGUUAGGGGAUCGAAGACGAUCAGAUACCGUCGUAGUCUUAACCAUAAACUAUGCCGACUAGGGAUCGGAUGAUGUUAAUUUUUAAUGACUCAUUCGGCGCCUUACG
Molecule: ribosomal RNA, 520 nt
Filed under: uncultured Glomeromycotina
Lineage: Eukaryota; Fungi; Glomeromycota
Description: SSU rRNA
Rfam family: Eukaryotic small subunit ribosomal RNA
Source: RNAcentral